RNAcentral lists this long non-coding RNA (5069 nucleotides) under Arabidopsis thaliana (thale cress). RNAcentral's name for it is "unknown gene (AT3G27990)". The record is from RNAcentral. Lineage: Eukaryota; Viridiplantae; Streptophyta; Magnoliopsida; Brassicales; Brassicaceae.
CUUGACAACAACACACUUCCUCGAAGACUUCGACAUCUCCAUCUCCGACAACCAACGUCAUCUCUUUCUCAUCUCGUGAAAUAAACACCACUGCCGGAUUCCAACCUCCUCCGGCGAACAUACGACUUUGUUCCCGUCAGCCAUCGUCUCCUCCUUUCUGCACCGCGCUCUCUUGUUCUCGACAUGGAGAAGAUGGAGCUUGCCUUUCGAUGACAAAAUCAAACUCAGAUUCCGACUACUUUGAUGGCUACCUCCGGCGAAAGCAACUGCAAACCUUCACCUUUUCUUGGUUGCUCCCCGUUCUGGUGAAACAAGAGACUUCUCUUCGUCUCUCAUCCAUGCCUCUUGUCCGUGACACAUCACAACAUCACAGUCAUCUUCACCAUCAAUUAACUCCGGCUGCGUUUAACUCCGCCGAAUCGGACCACCACCAUCACCGCUCAACUCAUGUCUCCAUUGGUGAGCUCCACCUCUUCUCCGAUGAGGCUUUUCCGGCGAAUCCGGCCAUUGAUCAUCUGCAAAUCUCAGGUUUCUUCCGACGAUCUCCAUCUUCCACUGUCACUUCUAGCACUUUUAUUCCCCAAUUUCUAUUGCCUUUAGGCUGUAGCUGCUCCAUCUCAAUUUCUGGGUUUUGCACGAGAACCCUUAAUCCCUCCUUUUUUUUUUGUUUCUCGCUGAAACUUUCAUGAGCUACUCCACCUGGAACCUAUCACUUUCUAACACGGCUCCAAAAUAUUCCGAGGUAGCUUCUUCCCAGUACUUUUUUCAAAUCUAUCCUGCAAGAUCAAGUCACAAACACUAGGACUGUUUCUCCAAUGAACAACGAAGCCUUUCAUCUGUUAAGAUGAACUCCGCAGCUCCUAACUCGGAUUUCUUGAAUCUUCAUCACAUAAACUCCACAUGGAAUCAGAAUCUGCAGCUCAGGUCAACUGAUUCUCCACAUCUCCACCUGGAAUAUAAGUCUCCUCACCGUAUUUCCAGGCGCCUACAGUGGAGUUACCUGGACGAUGUUGAGGAGAUCAUAACAGGCAUGAAAGUCCUUUCCAGGUAUUACUUGAGUCAUAACAUCUGUUGGAUCAAUUGUUUUUAGUAUCUUGUUUAGGACAGCCUCUCCUUUAGAUACCAAAUCUGUGAUGAUCUGAAAACCUUGUGUCCAUAAGUUUGGUUCCCGAUUCCUUCCCUUCUGUAGUUAAGCUCGUUAAUCUGAAAUGAGAUGUUGUUGGUACCAACUACUGUAGCUUCAUACAUUUUGAAAGUCUUAGCUUCCUUUUCCUGACUUUCUUGUAACAGAGCUAGAACUCCCUUAGCUUUAUCUCUGUUAACCUCCAUUCCCUGAAUCCUUGAAGCUUUUUCCAACUCUUUCAUUUCAACUUUAACGUGUCCCCUUUCUUAAUGAUACUUUCUGGCAUCGUAAUCCUUUCAUCCUUCAUUUUACUAUCACACAACAUCCACUCCUUGUUUUGAUCUCUCAACAGUGGCUGUCAUCAGAAGGUCCUUCACUUUUCUCAGAUUUAACCUCCUCUAAACAAUCUGAUUCUUCUGUUGAGGAUUCAUCUCCACCUUGAACUGAUGAUUCCAAAGCCAUAUGGAGUAGGUCCUUUGAAUUAAAUUCACGCUGAAAGUCACCUUCCUUGACUUCUUCUUCCUCACUCCAACUACAGCCUUGACAACACUUUUUCCACCAUUUUCAGCAUGUGGUACACUCUUUUCAGCCUUAACAACCAUGCCUUCAAGAUAGUAAAGCCCUUCGUGAUAUUUCCCAGAUAUCACUUUCUUACCAUCUUUGUAGAAAAUCAUGGAAAAAAUUAUAGAAGAAUAAUAUCUUUUAUUUUAUACGUUAUACAUGUGAAGCAUGGAACAACAUUAUUACAAUCCACUUUCAUAUGGAAUUCGACUUUCUUUCAGCCAAGUUUCUCCAUCUAAGAGCUUGGCUACAGUGAAUUCUGUAGCCUUUUUAGGAUCUUUCAUAACUUUAAAUCCUGACCACUUCACCCUUCUGCUAGUCACAGCUCCCGGACCCCUAUUUUGAUAUUCGCGGUAGUGGAGAGUUGAUAGACCAGUUUCUCCUUUCCAAGGAGUCCAGCCUGCGGGAUCAACUAAAUCACCGAUGAAAGAUUGCAGAACCGCGACUGUUGAAAAUCUCCUCCAAGGUCUUCCAAGAUACGUUUUUACGGUUGCUGUAUCUAGAUCCGAACUUGUUGUGAUGUUGCAGUUUUGAAUUGAGAAGCCCGAUUUGACGUCCUUAGUCGCGCGUGAUUGAGCGGUUAUGACAUUGCUCUGCCCCAUCUUAGGCUGUCUUGCUACAAUCUGGCAGAAUUGAAAGACCGCCACCGCGUUUCCACAUAUAAAAUCUACAGUGCCGGUAAUAAAGCACUCCCUAUAAAACUGGCGGUCACUAUGAGGAUACAAGGCAUCCUGAUAUCCCUCGACACGACAUCUAUAAAUGACGGACAUAUCACCACUCACACGGAGGGCAACAGCUGGUCCUUUUGCCGGUCCGGCCGUGUUUCGAAAGCACAUGUCUACUCCGAUGAAUCCAUUACCAUUAGAAGCUUCAAACAUAUUUUUAGAAUAAUUAGUAAUGUCUUUAAGAAUGUUAUAGUUUGGUAUAAAGAAGAGAAAACUAUAAACUAUUCAAGAAGAGAAUACAAAUUCUUACCAACAGUUGCGGUGUUGUACGUUCUUCUAACAUUGCUAGCGCUUAAAUUGCCUGUGAUGAUGGUUAAAUCUUGACCAUCACCUAUAAGAGUUAAAUUGGGUUUCGUAUUCUCAAUGACGACGAUUUCAUCAUAAAUGCCUGUCUUUAUAUAGAUGACGAAUCUCUUUUGGCUGUGUUGAGGUGCCGCUGCAAUGGCCGCAUUCACUGUGCUGUACUUUCCGGUCCCAUCCUUCGCGACCACAACAUCAGCAAUCUUCUUUAGAGCCUGCUUUAUAAGAAACAGAAGAAAUUCUAUAAGCAGUAGAAAGAAAGAAAAAAAAGGAUAAAAGGUUUGUUAAGAGGGUCAAACAUAUCGAUCGAAUUGUGUUCUUCAUUACGUGACCUUAAGGUCUAUUUUUAUACAAGGGCUGAUCUCUAAGGAAAAGGAAUUAUCUACCUAAAAGUAAUUACAAUAAAAGGUAAAUAUAAAAAUCCUAAAUAUUUGUUACUUGAGUAUCAAGUAAAUCCUUAAUAUGGGUUUUCACGAUUAUCAAAUUAUAACUUCAAAAUAUAAAGGUUCUGUUUUAUUACCUCAGCAUUGAGAUAUAGAUCUUUCUUGUCAACAUGGAAUAACCAAGAAGGGCCAUUGGGAAUCACCGAGAUAAGUUCGGUGUUGUCUCUCAGUGAAAUGGAGAUAAAAAGAGCCAAAACUACUCUUGCCCUAGAAAUGAGGUUUUCAAGCUUUGGCUCGACCCGGCGUUUAUAGGCACCUUCACCAAUUUCGUCGAUACAUGUGAUGUAGCUAGUAAGAACGCUACUAAGCCAAGUGUGGGAAUUCUCCUCCUAAGAGUUCCUCCACUGAAUGGAUCAUCCUAUCUUUUACCGACUCCAUCAUCUCCUCAAAUAGAUUUGUGUCCUCCUUCACACCAAGCAUAUCAUUCUCCAUCUCUUCAUGUUGUUUUGUAUCAUCCAUCACACCAAUCAUAGCCAUGUCGAUCCUCCGUACGGAAUUCUUCAAAACGAUGAUCAAUAAGUCACGACGUCUAAUCUCCGAGAGUGACGAUGAACCCGCCUUAAGCUCCAACAAAAGGUUUUGACAUGACUGUUUGUCAUCACAAUAUUCUUUGCUAACGCCAAUUACCAUUAUUAUCAUAAGGAUGAAAAAAGAGAAAACUUUAACCAACAUUUUUGUAUUUAUUUCUUCUCUCUUAAUUACUGAAUUUAUAUUAUCUUAACUGAUGAAAGAGGAGGGAGCGAUGGUGGUCUUAUAUACAAAGCAAAGCAACUUAAUCAAUUUAUCCUUUAAUUAAUUGUAUUCGAUAAACGACAAUAUUUAGGAAAAAAACUUUAUUUUGAGAUCAAUCUAAAAAUUUAGUGCAAUGUGAAUUGAAGAUAUAAUUCAGUGAAGUUUGGUUUUAUUAUCCACAAAGAACAGAAAAGAAAAGUGGUCCAUAUUUCAGCUCAUAAAAGAUAGAAAGAAUUGUCUUAGAGUAAUUUAGUUGAAAUACUUGUUACCCAAUGUACUCUAAAUGGCUUAAAAAAAAAUGAAUUUGGUAGAAAUUGGUUUCAUCUAUUUUUGUUUAUGCUAACAACAAUACAAUAUAUUCUCAACCUUAAUCUCUUGUGAGGAUGAGACUUAGCCAUUAUUGUUUUAGUACUAGAAAAGACAAUAUACACCUAAUAAAUAGAAAACCCUUAGAUUUAUUUUUGGGCGAUAGAAAAGAUGUUCUUUUUUUCUUUUUGGUUCAUUCUAUCGGUUGUUACGCAAUUCACUCUCAACUUUCACUACGUUACAAUGUUUACCCGAAAAGAUACACUCUCAUAACUUGUCAUUCCUCCGUAAAAAAAUGGUACUGUAAUUUUGACAACUUUGAAUGAAUCUUAUGCAGCUCUUGUAUCUGGAAUCGAUCUCUUCUUUGAGAUUUUUAGAAUUGGUAAAAGAACAAGAAAGCUUUAGAUGUGCUGCGUAGAGCUGUAACUAAAGAUGGUGGUCAUUGCUUUGGAUGCUAAAUGAUGUGGAGAAGAAUCAAUUUCCUUCGGAUUGUUCUUGAAAAGGGUUUAGUAGUCUGUUUUUGCGGAUGCUGAUGUGAUGUGGUUCAUGAACUAAUUUGCUUCUCAAUGCUUUCUUAUGAUUUCUUUGUUGAGUUGCAUUUGACUGAGAACUCUCGUGAGAUGCUUCACAUACUUAUAAAGUCUCAGUCUGCUUGGCAUGGAAUGGUAUUGUAUAUCAGAAGACAAUUCAAUAUGGAGAUUGAUGUUGUAGUAAUUGUUGCGUAGGCUUCUUUUUUAUGCUUGUGUCUUUUCUAUAUUGUUGUUACGACGAUGUUACAACGGUUCUCAAAACGACGUCAUUAUUUUUGUGUCAUUUAACAACCGACGUUAUCAUCAAUAUAUAUUCCGAAAAUUCACGACUGAUGAAUGCUCUACUUAU